Long non-coding RNA from Struthio camelus australis, 308 nucleotides. RefSeq lists it as uncharacterized. The record is from RefSeq and is a predicted model, not a curated record. Lineage: Eukaryota; Metazoa; Chordata; Aves; Struthioniformes; Struthionidae.
GAGAAAACCAGCUUUCAUUCCAGACAUGGAAAUUCCUACAUUCAAGAAUGAACAAAGUAAGCUGUACAUAAUGCCAGUUGAUACUUGACUGCGUCAUAGCUGUGAAAAAAAACAAGAAGAGCAAGAAAACUUGAGGGUACAUCCAAGGCUUUAAGGGCAGGAAGAAGCAUAGGCUCACUCUCGAGAGCUGCAUAUUGUUCGCUACAGGAACAAGAAUUGAACAUGAUGCAGCAAGGGAGAAUACACUGUUGACAAAUAAGGUGACAGUGACUUUUUAGUAUUUCCUGAUCUAUUUUUCAUUGAGCUAA